Acanthaster planci (crown-of-thorns starfish) is the source of this 1427-nucleotide long non-coding RNA. RefSeq lists it as uncharacterized. Lineage: Eukaryota; Metazoa; Echinodermata; Asteroidea; Valvatida; Acanthasteridae. The record is from RefSeq and is a predicted model, not a curated record.
AUAUAUUGCCUCAUAAAAGACCUGGAAAUCCUUCAAAUCUGCAAGUCGUGGUGGCCUCUGAAAGGUUGCAUGUUCCUCUUUCCUUUGAUGUCGUGUUCCCGUCCAACGUUGGCUACAUAUAUCGCCUUUUAAAAGACCUGGCAAGCCUUCAAAUCUUCAAGUCUUGGUGGCAUCUGAAAGGUCGCAAGUUUGUCUUUCCAUUAAUGUCGUGUUCCCGUCCAACGUUGGCUACAUAUAUCGCCUCAUAACAGAUGUGGAAAUCCUUCAAAUCUGCAAGACCUGGUAGCAUCUGAAAGGUCUUGUUCCUGUCCAACGUUGGCUACAUAUAUCGCCUCAUAACAGAUCUGGAAAUCCUCCAAAUCUGCAAGACCUGGUGGCAUAUCAAAGGUGGCAUGUUCCUCUUUCCUUUGAUGUCCUGUUCCCAUCCAACGUUGGUUACAUAUAUCGCCUAAAAAAAGACCUGGAAAUUGUUCAAAUCUGCAAGUCUUGGUGUCAUCUGAGAGGUCGCAUGUUCCUGUUUUCUUUGAUAAAGUUUCAUGCUCAAAUUAGGUGUAGUUAGGAAAAUAUUUGCAAACGAAGGCAGAAGUUCUUGUUUUGCUGCUUGGUGUUUUUAUAGAACUCCCACCUUGUCUGUACAUUACAGGUCUUGUUCCUGUCCAACGUUGGCUACAUAUAUCGCCUCGUAACAGAUCUGGAAAUCCUUCAAAUCUGCAAGACCUGGUGGCAUAUCAAAGGUGGCAUGUUCCUCUUUCCUUUGAUGAGGAGUACUAUCACCUCUUGGCUGAGAAGAUCUACAAGAUCCAGAAGGAGAUCCAGAAGGAGCUGUAGGAGAAGCAACAGAAGAGGAUGCAGGAUUCAGGAGGUAUUGAUGCUGCCGCUGGAGGCAUUCCCAUGACGGCAGCAGCGCUGCUGCCUCAGCCUCCCCACUAACUGCCCAGAUCAGUAUGUCCACUGGGAAAAUGUAGCUCUUUCAACCAACUUAUAUCAGAACUAUGCUGUACAAAACUAUAUGGUCUUGAAGGGUUAUUUUGGUGUCAGUGUUGCUUUGGCUCAGCAAUGGAAAGUGGACUGGUAGAAUGGGGCGUCAGGUUGGUUGUACGAUGUAAACAACAAAUAAAAGUGUAAUGCAAAUGUGAAUUUUAGGUUUUGAAACACAUUCCAUAUCUCAGUAUGUGGAAUGAAGAUGUCGAUUGUACCCAUAGUCAGUAAAUGUAACUAACUCAAGCUUUAAAUUGUAUAUCUAAUAUGAGCUUCACUCAUUAGGUGCUUCUGGAAAAUUUGUAUCUCUUUUUUUCCGCACACGGCUGUUCUUGCUUAUUGUCUUGAUCAGGACUUGAACAAAGCUUUUGCCACAAAUAAAUUAGAUUGCUAAUUUGAUAGACAAACUAACAGAUAUUUACAUGUAUGUACAUAGGGUCUGCUGCUUG